Anolis carolinensis (green anole) is the source of this 744-nucleotide long non-coding RNA. RefSeq lists it as uncharacterized. The record is from RefSeq and is a predicted model, not a curated record. Lineage: Eukaryota; Metazoa; Chordata; Lepidosauria; Squamata; Anolidae. The transcript has 2 exons.
UGUUGGGGCGUCUGGAAUUGGGAUGGCAGCUGACAGCGAUGAUGAGCUUGAACUGGGAUAAAAUGGGGUUUGGGAUCAAUGUCUAAUUGCGUUGGGCAAGGUAAUCUGGACGGACGCUUGGGCUUUUGUUUGGGAACUUCCUGAAGACGGGUGUGAUUCGUUGCCUGGAUACCUUGACCUCCGUCGUCUUUUUGACGGGCAAUACCUUCUCGCACUGAAUUGACGCUGGACUGACUGACUUCGAUUCCGGAUUAUCCCUUCUGCUGACUACUGGUGAGAUCUUUGGAUUUCUUGACGACUUCGCUUGGCUGUAGACCUCUGGACCGGAUUGGGACCCUGCUGACUGCCGUUACCCUGACUGCUGUGCCUGGACCUGGAUAUCGUUGGACGCUGAACCCUAAACUGGAUCCCAACUAAGACCACUCUUUUCACUUGCUGCAGGAAGGAAUAAACAAGCCUGGUUUAUUCCCCUGCUGUGUCUGAGUAGCAGAGAGGAACCUGCCACCAGCCUGUUGUUUACGUUUUGUCUCCUGCUGAUUCUCCUUUGUUUGCUAAGAUGAAGUAAGCUCUUUUAUUUAAUCCGGAUUAUACUUCUGUUUAACCCGGUUUAUUCCUUUGAACCGUUUAAGCUCAAACUGAGCUGCUUUUUGUUACUUUUCACACUGAAGUUAAGUGUUUGCCCUGUUCUUUGUCUUUUACGGGCGUUUUUGGUUCUGUAACCUCAAUAAACUGAGUUUUGUUUUA